This 337-nucleotide unclassified non-coding RNA is filed under the name soil metagenome. RNAcentral describes it as "partial contains 5.8S ribosomal RNA, internal transcribed spacer 2, and large subunit ribosomal RNA". The stretch from base 1 to 120 matches the Rfam family "5.8S ribosomal RNA", at positions 35 to 154 of the family's 154-position model. The record is from RNAcentral.
GAUGAAGAACGUAGCGAAAUGCGAUAAGUAGUGUGAAUUGCAGAAUUCAGUGAAUCAUCGAAUCUUUAAACGCACAUUGCGCCCCUUGGUAUUCCAUGGGGCAUGCCUGUUCGAGCGUCAUCUACACCCUCAAGCUCUGCUUGGUGUUGGGCGUCUGUCCCGCCUUUGCGCGUGGACUCGCCCCAAAUUCAUUGGCAGCGGUCCUUGCCUCCUCUCGCGCAGCACAUUUGCGCUUCUCGAGGUGCGCGGGCCGCGUCCACGAAGCAACUAUUACCGUCUUUGACCUCGGAUCAGGUAGGGAUACCCGCUGAACUUAAGCAUAUCAAUAAGCGGAGGA